RNAcentral lists this ribosomal RNA (1222 nucleotides) under Micrococcus sp. RNAcentral describes it as "bacterial SSU rRNA". It matches the Rfam family "Bacterial small subunit ribosomal RNA", at positions 90 to 1324 of the family's 1533-position model. The record is from RNAcentral. Lineage: Bacteria; Bacillati; Actinomycetota; Actinomycetes; Micrococcales; Micrococcaceae.
GAUUAGUGGCGAACGGGUGAGUAACACGUGAGUAACCUGCCCUUAACUCUGGGAUAAGCCUGGGAAACUGGGUCUAAUACCGGAUAGGAGCGUCCACCGCAUGGUGGGUGUUGGAAAGAUUUAUCGGUUUUGGAUGGACUCGCGGCCUAUCAGCUUGUUGGUGAGGUAAUGGCUCACCAAGGCGACGACGGGUAGCCGGCCUGAGAGGGUGACCGGCCACACUGGGACUGAGACACGGCCCAGACUCCUACGGGAGGCAGCAGUGGGGAAUAUUGCACAAUGGGCGCAAGCCUGAUGCAGCGACGCCGCGUGAGGGAUGACGGCCUUCGGGUUGUAAACCUCUUUCAGUAGGGAAGAAGCGAAAGUGACGGUACCUGCAGAAGAAGCACCGGCUAACUACGUGCCAGCAGCCGCGGUAAUACGUAGGGUGCGAGCGUUAUCCGGAAUUAUUGGGCGUAAAGAGCUCGUAGGCGGUUUGUCGCGUCUGUCGUGAAAGUCCGGGGCUUAACCCCGGAUCUGCGGUGGGUACGGGCAGACUAGAGUGCAGUAGGGGAGACUGGAAUUCCUGGUGUAGCGGUGGAAUGCGCAGAUAUCAGGAGGAACACCGAUGGCGAAGGCAGGUCUCUGGGCUGUAACUGACGCUGAGGAGCGAAAGCAUGGGGAGCGAACAGGAUUAGAUACCCUGGUAGUCCAUGCCGUAAACGUUGGGCACUAGGUGUGGGGACCAUUCCACGGUUUCCGCGCCGCAGCUAACGCAUUAAGUGCCCCGCCUGGGGAGUACGGCCGCAAGGCUAAAACUCAAAGGAAUUGACGGGGGCCCGCACAAGCGGCGGAGCAUGCGGAUUAAUUCGAUGCAACGCGAAGAACCUUACCAAGGCUUGACAUGUUCUCGAUCGCCGUAGAGAUACGGUUUCCCCUUUGGGGCGGGUUCACAGGUGGUGCAUGGUUGUCGUCAGCUCGUGUCGUGAGAUGUUGGGUUAAGUCCCGCAACGAGCGCAACCCUCGUUCCAUGUUGCCAGCACGUAAUGGUGGGGACUCAUGGGAGACUGCCGGGGUCAACUCGGAGGAAGGUGAGGACGACGUCAAAUCAUCAUGCCCCUUAUGUCUUGGGCUUCACGCAUGCUACAAUGGCCGGUACAAUGGGUUGCGAUACUGUGAGGUGGAGCUAAUCCCAAAAAGCCGGUCUCAGUUCGGAUUGGGGUCUGCAACUCGACCCCAUGAA